GGAAGCGUAUCGAAGUGGUUGUAACGGCCCUGACUCGAAAUCAGGUGUACCUACGGGUACCGUGGGUUCGAAUCCCACCGCUUCCG
RNAcentral lists this transfer RNA (86 nucleotides) under Clostridiales bacterium. Its description in RNAcentral is "tRNA-Ser". It matches the Rfam family "tRNA". Rfam says of the family: Transfer RNA (tRNA) molecules are approximately 80 nucleotides in length. Their secondary structure includes four short double-helical elements and three loops (D, anti-codon, and T loops). Further hydrogen bonds mediate the characteristic L-shaped molecular structure. tRNAs have two regions of fundamental functional importance: the anti-codon, which is responsible for specific mRNA codon recognition, and the 3' end, to which the tRNAs corresponding amino acid is attached (by aminoacyl-tRNA synthetases). tRNAs cope with the degeneracy of the genetic code in two manners: having more than one tRNA (with a specific anti-codon) for a particular amino acid; and 'wobble' base-pairing, i.e. permitting non-standard base-pairing at the 3rd anti-codon position. The record is from RNAcentral. Lineage: Bacteria; Bacillati; Bacillota; Clostridia; Eubacteriales.